This 111-nucleotide ribosomal RNA is filed under the name Cronobacter sakazakii. RNAcentral describes it as "partial 23S ribosomal RNA". It matches the Rfam family "Bacterial large subunit ribosomal RNA", at positions 2815 to 2925 of the family's 2925-position model. The record is from RNAcentral. Lineage: Bacteria; Pseudomonadati; Pseudomonadota; Gammaproteobacteria; Enterobacterales; Enterobacteriaceae.
ACUGUAAGUAUCCUGAAGGAACGUUGAAGACGACGACGUUGAUAGGCCGGGUGUGUAAGCGCAGCGAUGCGUUGAGCUAACCGGUACUAAUGAACCGUGAGGCUUAACCUU